This 278-nucleotide ribosomal RNA is filed under the name Bombyx mori (domestic silkworm). RNAcentral's name for it is "Eukaryotic large subunit ribosomal RNA". It matches the Rfam family "Eukaryotic large subunit ribosomal RNA", at positions 1457 to 1646 of the family's 3401-position model. Lineage: Eukaryota; Metazoa; Arthropoda; Insecta; Lepidoptera; Bombycidae. The record is from Rfam by way of RNAcentral.
GUGGUAGUAAAUACUCCAGCGAGGCCCUGGAGAACUGACGCGGAGAAGGGUUUCGCGUGAACAGUAAUUGCUCGCGAGUCAGUCGAUGCUAAGCUCAAGGAUAGAUCUUAUGUUGAGGUGGCUUUUUUAUGUUUUUAAAUAUAUACUAAUCCAUAAAAUUCCCAAAAAGUAGUAAUUACGCAAAUCGUUAUCAAACGACGUGGCUUUUUACCAUGGUUGAAGCACAUGGUGGUAUAUAUAACUUAUAUCUUCUACUCCAGGGUUAAGCCAUACUAGUA